UGUUAGGGGAAGCCUUGUUGAGGCGGAUGACUAGGAGGUGCUAAGAGGUGGAACAGGAAACCGGAAGGCUCCUUCUUGAGUAGCUGGGACAACAGUCCUAGGCCACCAGGCUCAAGCCCCACUCCACAUCUAUUGGAAAGAGGCUGCUACUGUAUUGCAGGCCAGAGUCUACAGCCUGAGAAGAACCAAGACCACCCAUCACCAUCACCACCCCAAUCUGGCUAUCACCAUACAUUCUCUCCUCCAAAGCUGUUAUCCUCUGCCUCUAAGUGCUCUGACAUGGCCCAGCUGACCUGGUGUCACUUGGACCCUUCAGAAUUUGAAAUGAUUGAAUGUGAGAUUUGUGCGCAGUUGGCGUUCUAGAGUGGGAGACCACACCCGAGGAAGACCACAUUUAGAGGUCUGUGCUUUGACCAGUUUAUUGUUGAGGGAGUUUCCCCCCACCCCCCUAAAGUUUAAACAGCAUCCAAAAGGGGAUGUAUGCAUACUUUUUUUUUUUUUUUUUUUUUUUUUUUUUUUUUUUUUUUUUUUUUGCUGUUUGGAAAAAGUAGGAGUGAAAAUUGGAUGCUUAUAUAAAGAACUGAAGAAGUUCAGGUAAUAAAUAGUCUUAAGAAAAAUAUUCCAAAAGUAAGUUUCCUAAAAGCUUGAGAAAACUACAUACAAAACUACCAAGAUACCUGCAUAAAAAAUCAAAAUAAAACUGACGCUCACAGAAGGCUGAAGACUAGCUGGUAAUUGCACUCAGCAUUAAGCUGACAAUACUAGGCACUAAAAAGCAUGGUAAAUUAUUGGCUCAAACAACAACACCAUGCAGAAGUAGACCCAUAGAAAUAAGAGCUAGAAGGAGCUUUCGAAUUCUGGUUUUUAACUUUGUUCAACAUCUUAGCAAUGCUUUCUUGUUUGUUUGCUUGCUUUUAUGACAAGGUCUUACUAUGCAGCCUAGGCUGGCCUCAAACUUUUGAUCCUCCUGUAUCAAUUGUCUGAGUGCUAUGAUUUUAAGUGUAUACACCAUUCCUAGCAAAUUUAAAACUAUUUUCUCCUUUU
RNAcentral lists this small RNA (1044 nucleotides) under Rattus norvegicus (Norway rat). Its description in RNAcentral is "uncharacterized LOC108348578". Lineage: Eukaryota; Metazoa; Chordata; Mammalia; Rodentia; Muridae. The record is from RNAcentral.